Molecule: non-coding RNA, 46 nt
Filed under: Trichobilharzia regenti
Lineage: Eukaryota; Metazoa; Platyhelminthes; Trematoda; Strigeidida; Schistosomatidae
Source: RNAcentral
GUUCUGCUGAAGAGUCCCAAACUAGGACGAAACAGAUGUCCAGUAC